CCGUGCUUAGCUCAGUUGGCUAGAGCACCUGACUGUAGAUCAGGGGGUCCCCGGUUCAAGUCCGGGAGCGCGGACCA
RNAcentral lists this transfer RNA (77 nucleotides) under Marine Group II euryarchaeote MED-G34. RNAcentral's name for it is "tRNA-Tyr". It matches the Rfam family "tRNA". Rfam says of the family: Transfer RNA (tRNA) molecules are approximately 80 nucleotides in length. RNAcentral also lists the same sequence under 3 other names. The record is from RNAcentral. Lineage: Archaea; Methanobacteriati; Thermoplasmatota; Candidatus Poseidoniia; Candidatus Poseidoniales.